Molecule: transfer RNA, 73 nt
Filed under: Agrilus planipennis (emerald ash borer)
Lineage: Eukaryota; Metazoa; Arthropoda; Insecta; Coleoptera; Buprestidae
Rfam family: tRNA
About the family: Transfer RNA (tRNA) molecules are approximately 80 nucleotides in length. Their secondary structure includes four short double-helical elements and three loops (D, anti-codon, and T loops).
Source: Rfam by way of RNAcentral
UCUCUCGUAGCUUAGUGGUCAGAGCAUUAGUGCAUAAAGCCAAAGGUCCCGGGUUCGAUUCCGGGCGGGGGUG